CAGUCGCCACGGUAAUACAGAGGGUGCAAGCGUUAAUCGGAAUUACUGGGCGUAAAGCGCGCGUAGGUGGUUUGUUAAGUUGGAUGUGAAAUCCCCUGGCUCAACCUGGGAACUGCAUCCAAAACUGGCAAGCUAGAGUAUGGUAGAGGGUGGUGGAAUUUCCUGUGUAGCGGUGAAAUGCGUAGAUAUAGGAAGGAACACCAGUGGCGAAGGCGACCACCUGGACUGAUACUGACACUGAGGUGCGAAAGCGUGGGGAGCAAACAGGAUUAGAUACCCCGGUAGUCCCUGUCUCUUAUAC
This 301-nucleotide ribosomal RNA is filed under the name uncultured bacterium. RNAcentral's name for it is "partial 16S ribosomal RNA". It matches the Rfam family "Bacterial small subunit ribosomal RNA", at positions 509 to 807 of the family's 1533-position model. The record is from RNAcentral.